CAGUAGCCGCGGUAAUACGAAGGGUGCAAGCGUUAAUCGGAAUUACUGGGCGUAAAGCGUGCGUAGGCGGUUUGUUAAGUCUGUUGUGAAAUCCCCGGGCUCAACCUGGGAAUGGCAAUGGAUACUGGCAAGCUAGAGUGUGUCAGAGGAUGGUGGAAUUCCCGGUGUAGCGGUGAAAUGCGUAGAGAUCGGGAGGAACAUCAGUGGCGAAGGCGGCCAUCUGGGACAACACUGACGCUGAGGCACGAAAGCGUGGGGAGCAAACAGGAUUAGGUACCCCGGUAGUCCCUGUCUCUUAUAA
This 301-nucleotide ribosomal RNA is filed under the name uncultured bacterium. RNAcentral describes it as "partial 16S ribosomal RNA". It matches the Rfam family "Bacterial small subunit ribosomal RNA", at positions 509 to 809 of the family's 1533-position model. The record is from RNAcentral.